Molecule: ribosomal RNA, 478 nt
Filed under: uncultured bacterium
Lineage: Bacteria
Description: partial 16S ribosomal RNA
Rfam family: Bacterial small subunit ribosomal RNA
Source: RNAcentral
GAUGAACGCUGACAGAAUGCUUAACACAUGCAAGUCUACUUGAUUCUACUUCGGUAGUUGAUGGUGGCGGACGGGUGAGUAACGCGUAAAGAAUCUGCCCUUUAGUUUGGGAUAACCUUUGGAAACGAAGGCUAAUACCGGAUAUUAUGGAGACGUCGCAUGGCGACUCCAUGAAAGCUAUAUGCGCUAGAGGAGGACUUUGCGUCCCAUUAGUUAGUUGGUGAGGUAAUGGCUCACCAAGACCGCGAUGGGUAGCCGGCCUGGGAGGGUGGUCGGCGACAAGGGAACUGAGACACGGUCCUUGCGCCUAAGGGGGGCAGCAGUGGGGAAUAUUGGACAAUGGGCCACAAGCCUGAUCCAGCAAUUCUGUGGGCACGAUGAAGGUCUUCGGAUUGUAAAGUGCUUUCAGUAGGGAAGAAAAAAAUGACGGUACCUACAGAAGAAGCGACGGCUAAAGAUGUGCCAGCCGCCGCCGUAA